This 1376-nucleotide ribosomal RNA is filed under the name uncultured bacterium. RNAcentral describes it as "bacterial SSU rRNA". It matches the Rfam family "Bacterial small subunit ribosomal RNA". The record is from RNAcentral.
GAGUUUGAUCCUGGCUCAGAACGAACGCUGACGGAGUGGAUUAGGCAUGCAAGUCGAACGCUUGAGAUCUUCGGAUCAAGAGAGUGGCGAACGGGUGAGUAAGGCGUGAAUAACCUACCCUGAUGAGGGGGACAACCAUUCGAAAGGAUGGCUAAUACCCCAUACGCUCCUACGGGAGGAAAGCUGGCUCUGCUGGCGCUUCAGGAGGGGUUCACGUGCUAUUAGCUUGUUGGUGGGGUAAUGGCCUACCAAGGCGAUGAUGGCUAGCCGGCCUGAGAGGGUGUCCGGCCACACUGGGACUGAGACACUGCCCAGACUCCUACGGGAGGCUGCAGUCGAGAAUCUUCCACUAAUGCGCGAAAGCGUGAUGGAGCAACUCCGUGUGUGGGAUGAAGGCCUUAGGGUUGUAAACCACUGUUGGAAGGGCGUAAUCCCUGGGUGUUAAUACCAUUCCAGGUUGAACUCCCUUCGGAGGAAGCAGCGGCUAAAUUCGUGCCAGCAGCCGCGGUAAUACGAAUGCUGCAAGCGUUGUUCGGAAUCACUGGGCAUAAAGAGCACGUAGGCGGCUUAUUAAGUCAGCUGUGAAAUCCCUCGGCUUAACCGAGGAACUGCAGCUGAUACUGAUAGGCUUGAGUACGGGAGGGGAGAGCGGAAUUCCUGGUGGAGCGGUGAUAUGCGUAGAGAUCAGGAGGAACGCCGGUGGCGAAAGCGGCUCUCUGGACCGUUACUGACGCUGAGGUGCGAAAGCUAGGGGAGCGAACAGGAUUAGAUACCCUGGUAGUCCUAGCCGUAAACGAUGGGUACUAAGUGGGGGGACUCCCAAGGUCUCCCUGCCGGAGCUAAUGUGUUAAGUACCCCGCCUGGGGAGUAUGGUCGCAAGGCUAAAACUCAAAGUAAUUGACGGGGGCUCACACAAGCGGUGGAGCAUGUUGUUUAAUUCGAUGCAACGCGAAGAACCUUACCAGGGUUUGACAUCCUGCGAAUCUCUUGGAAACAGGAGAGUGCCUUCGGGAACGCAGUGACAGGUGGUGCAUGGCUGUCGUCAGCUCGUGUCGUGAGAUGUUGGGUUAAGUCCCGCAACGAGCGCAACCCACGUCUUUAGUUGCCAGCAUUUAGUUGGGCACUCUAGAGAGACUGCCGGUGAUAAACCGGAGGAAGGUGUGGAUGACGUCAAGUCAUCAUGCCCCUUACAUCCUGGGCUACACACGUACUACAAUGCUACGGACAAAGGGCAGCAAGUUCGCGAGGACAAGCAAAUCCCAUAAACCGUGGCUCAGUUCAGAUCGUAGGCUGCAACUCGCCUACGUGAAGGCGGAAUCGCUAGUAAUCGCAGGUCAGCAUACUGCGGUGAAUACGUUCCCGGGCCUUGUACUCAC